GCCGGGCACGGUGGUGCGUGCCUGUAGUCCCAGCUACUCAGGAGGCUGAUGUGGGAGGAUCGCUUGAGCCCAGAAGUUCUGGCCUGUAGUGCGCUAUGCCAAUUGGGUGUCCGCACUAAGUUCAGCAUCAAUAUGGUGACCUCCCCGGAGCAAAGGACCACCAGGUUGCCUAAGGAGGGGUGAACCGGCCCAGGUCGGAAAUGGAGCAGGUCAAAACUCCCGUGCUGAUCAGUAGUGGGGUCAUGCCUGUGAAUAGCCACUGCACUCCAGCCUGGGCAACAUAGAGACACAAUCUCA
This 297-nucleotide signal recognition particle RNA is filed under the name Cebus imitator (Panamanian white-faced capuchin). RNAcentral describes it as "Metazoan signal recognition particle RNA (ENSCCAG00000004635.1)". It matches the Rfam family "Metazoan signal recognition particle RNA". Rfam says of the family: The signal recognition particle (SRP) is a universally conserved ribonucleoprotein. It is involved in the co-translational targeting of proteins to membranes. The eukaryotic SRP consists of a 300-nucleotide 7S RNA and six proteins: SRPs 72, 68, 54, 19, 14, and 9. The record is from RNAcentral. Lineage: Eukaryota; Metazoa; Chordata; Mammalia; Primates; Cebidae.